CCACGACCGAGAGCCUGUGCACGAUCCC
Molecule: small RNA, 28 nt
Filed under: Bombyx mori (domestic silkworm)
Lineage: Eukaryota; Metazoa; Arthropoda; Insecta; Lepidoptera; Bombycidae
Description: ovarian small RNA-13506
Source: RNAcentral